CCUACGGGGGGCAGCAGGGGGGAAUAUUGCACAAUGGGGGGAACCCUGAUGCAGCGACGCCGCGUGAGGGAAGAAGUAUUUCGGUAUGUAAAGCUCUAUCAGCAGGGAAGAAAAUGACGGUACCUGACUAAGAAGCCCGGGCUAACUACGUGCCAGCAGCCGCGGGAAUACGUAGGGGGCAAGCGUUAUCCGGAUUUACUGGGUGUAAAGGGAGCGUAGACGGUUGUGCAAGUCUGAAGGGAAAGCCCAGGGCCCAACCAUGGGCCUGCUUGGGAAACUGGAAAACGUGAGUGCAGGAGAGGUAAGCGGAAUUCCUAGUGUAGCGGUGAAAUGCGUAGAUAUUAGGAGGAACACCAGUGGCGAAGGCGGCUUACUGGACUGUAACUGACGUUGAGGCUCGAAGGCGUGGGGAGCAAACAGGAUUAGAUACCCCAGUAGUC
RNAcentral lists this ribosomal RNA (440 nucleotides) under uncultured bacterium. Its description in RNAcentral is "partial 16S ribosomal RNA". It matches the Rfam family "Bacterial small subunit ribosomal RNA", at positions 338 to 795 of the family's 1533-position model. The record is from RNAcentral.